GCCAGGUGUGGUGGUUCAUGCCUGUAAUCCCAGUAUCUCAAGAGGCUGAGGCAGGAGGAUCAAGAGUUCAAAGCCAGCCUCAGCAAUUCAGAGAAGUGCUAAGCAACUCAGUGAGAUCCUGUCUCUA
Molecule: small RNA, 127 nt
Filed under: Marmota monax (woodchuck)
Lineage: Eukaryota; Metazoa; Chordata; Mammalia; Rodentia; Sciuridae
Source: RNAcentral